CGACGAUGGCUAGGGGUUCUGCAAGGAAGAUCCCCCACACUGGUACUGAGACACGGACCAGACUCCUACGGGAGGCAGCAGUGAGGAAUAUUGGUCAAUGGAGGCAACUCUGAACCAGCCAAGCCGCGUGAAGGAAGACUGUUCUAUGAAUUGUAAACUUCUUUUGUGACAGAGUAAAGAUAGCUACGCGUAGUUAUUUGCAAGUAUGUCAUGAAUAAGCAUCGGCUAACUCCGUGCCAGCAGCCGCGGUAAUACGGAGGAUGCAGGCGUUAUCCGGAUUUAUUAGGUUUAAAGGGUGUUCAGGCUGUCUGGUAAGUCAGAGGUGAAAGUCGGUUGCUUAACGAUCGAAUUGCCUUUGAAACUGUCAGACUUGAGUAUGGAUGCGGUAGGCGGAAUGUGUAGUGUAGCGGUGAAAUGCAUAGAUAUUACACAGAACACCGAUUGCGAAAGCAGCUUACCAAACCAGCACUGACGCUGAAGCACGAAAGCGUGGGUAGCGAACAGGAUUAGAUACCCUGGUAGUCCACGCAGUAAACGAUGCUCACUCGCUGUUGGCAAUAGAUCGUCAGCGGCUAAGGGAAACCGAUAAGUGAGCCACCUGGGGAGUACGAUCGCAAGAUUGAAACUCAAAGGAAUUGACGGGGGCCCGCACAAGCGGUGGAACAUGUGGUUUAAUUCGAUGAUACGCGAGGAACCUUACCUGGGCUUAAAUGUACGAUGCAUAAGUGUGAAAGCACUUUUUCCUUCGGGACUUUGUACAAGGUGCUGCAUGGUUGUCGUCAGCUCGUGCCGUGAGGUGUCGGGUUAAGUCCCAUAACGAGCGCAACCCCUAUUGUUAGUUACCAGCGCGUAAAGGCGGGGACUCUAGCGAAACUGCCGGUGUAAACCGCGAGGAAGGUGGGGAUGACGUCAAAUCAGCACGGCCCUUAUGUCCAGGGCUACACACGUGUUACAAUGGCCGGUACAGCGGGCAGCGAGGCAGCGAUGCCGAGCGAAUCUCGAAAGCCGGUCCCAGUUCGGAUUGGAGUCUGCAACCCGACUCCAUGAAGGUGGAAUCGCUAGUAAUCGCGCAUCAGCCAUGGCGCGGUGAUACGUUCCCGGGCCUUGUACACACCGCCCGUCAAGCCAUGGAAGUCUGGGGUGCCUGAAGGCCGUAACCGCGAGGAGCGGUCUAGGGUAAACAGAUGACUGGG
RNAcentral lists this ribosomal RNA (1193 nucleotides) under uncultured organism. RNAcentral describes it as "bacterial SSU rRNA". It matches the Rfam family "Bacterial small subunit ribosomal RNA", at positions 274 to 1479 of the family's 1533-position model. The record is from RNAcentral.